GGGGGGGGGGGGGGGGGGGGGGGGGGGGGGUGGGGCGGGGGGGGGGGGCGGGUGCGGGGGGUGGGCGGGUGGCGGGCGGGUGAGUAGCACGUGAGUAACGUGCCCGUGGCUGUGGGGUAACUUCCGGACACUGGGGCUACUGCCGGGUAGGAGCUCGUGCUGCAUGGGGGGGGUUGGAACGUUUCGGCGGUUGGGGAUGGACUCGCGGCUUAUCAGCUUGUUGGUGGGGUAGUGGCUUACCAAGGAUUUGACGGGUAGCCGGCCUGAGAGGGUGACCGGCCACAUUGGGACGGAGAUACGGCCCAGACUCCUACGGGAGGCAGCAGUGGGGAAUAUUGCACAAUGGGUGGAAGCCUGAUGCAGCAACGCCGUGUGCGGGAUGACGGCCUUCGGGUUGUAAACCGCUUUCGCUCAUGACGAAGCUUUGUGUGACGGUAGUGGGUAAAGAAGCACCGGCUAACUACGUG
RNAcentral lists this ribosomal RNA (467 nucleotides) under uncultured bacterium. RNAcentral's name for it is "partial 16S ribosomal RNA". The stretch from base 48 to 467 matches the Rfam family "Bacterial small subunit ribosomal RNA", at positions 39 to 507 of the family's 1533-position model. The record is from RNAcentral.